GGGCGAUUAGCUCAGCCUGGGGAGAGCACUUGACUUACAUUCAAGGGGUCAGAGGUUCAAAUCCUCUAUCGCCCA
RNAcentral lists this transfer RNA (75 nucleotides) under Candidatus Omnitrophota bacterium. RNAcentral describes it as "tRNA-Val". It matches the Rfam family "tRNA". From Rfam's summary of the family: Transfer RNA (tRNA) molecules are approximately 80 nucleotides in length. Their secondary structure includes four short double-helical elements and three loops (D, anti-codon, and T loops). The record is from RNAcentral. Lineage: Bacteria; Pseudomonadati; Candidatus Omnitrophota.